Molecule: ribosomal RNA, 252 nt
Filed under: uncultured prokaryote
Description: partial 16S rRNA
Rfam family: Archaeal small subunit ribosomal RNA
Source: RNAcentral
ACCGGCGGCUCGAGUGGUGGCCACUAUUACUGGGCUUAAAGCGUUCGUAGCUGGCUUGUUAAGUCUCUGGGGAAAUCUUCCGGCUCAACCGGAAGGCGUCUCAGGGAUACUGGCAGGCUAGGGACCGGAAGAGGUGAGAGGUACUCCAGGGGUAGGCGUGAAAUCAGGAAGGCCCAGAGGGACAGGCAGGGGCGAAGGGGGCACACCCGGACGUAGCCGACGGUGAGGUAGGAGAUCUUCGACCACAAACAU